UCUCCAGGGGCCGCCCCUUCCGGGCAUGCGCGAGUCGCGUGCGCAGACUGUCGGAACUUGCUUCAAGAAUUUUCCUGUGGGGCCGUGCGAUAGGCUCAGCACGACCGCUAGAGGGCAGCCACGAGGACUUUGCACCUAACGUGAGCGCAGCUGCUUCCAGGAGGAAGAAGAGAGAAUGAGAGGAAAAACUCGGUUGUUCUGGCUGCUUUUUAAUCCCUACGUCAGAAAAUGAUGAAAGGUGUUUGCCGGGACCCUCCUUUGGAUGACGGCGAUUGCGGAAUGUGAAGCCCGCAAGAAGGAUGAAAAAAAGCCCAAACAUCCUCUUUCCAAAGCCACAUUUGCAAACUUCUUCCUGUGGAGUUGCAAAGACGUCCUUCUCCGCUGCAGCAGCACAGACUGUCGCCAUGGAGACGGAAAUCUCUGAAGCAUCCAAGGUUUUCCAAGGAUUCCCACAGAAGAGCACUGCAGGCUUUGCAGCAGAGGGAUCUGGCAGGAUCCGGUCAAAAAAGUCAAGAUGGCAGCUACCACAGUGCACUAGAAAGGCUGCCUUUUACUCCCUCCUCUCUACAGGGACUCCUCGACUUAUGACCACAAUUGAGCCCCAAAUCAGGAGCCAGGGCUGGAGAAAUGCUGUCUCUUGAAAAAGACUUCCCAAAUCCCGGCGAUGUGGCCAGAGUCGCACCCAUUUCCUCCGUGCAAUUGCAAGAGGAGACAGUUGAUCAAACGCUUUCUUGAGCUUUUACAAUUCCAGGAAAUCUGUGCUGCAAAUGUCAUCGGCAGGUUUCACCCCGUGCUUCUGAAAUGUCAACCCAUCAGCAGGAACAUUGCAAGCUUUUUCUUCUCCCAGAUAAAGACAUAUUUUUGGAACUUCUCCAGAUCGUGGGUCAGUGGACUGCCUGCUGUUUUCUCCAACAUACAAAGUCACUUUUUUUUUCAUCCUGAGACUUGACUUGAAUGGAAUGUGGUUCAUUUUUUCACUAGGGAGUCCUGAUUAUACUUGUCGAAGGGAUAACAUAAAACCACCAAUUUCCCUCUGGGAGCAACUGCAAACUGAUAACUUGCACUAACCUGAGUUUUUUCACAACUGUGUUGGACAGACUGCUCAUUUUUCUUCUGCGUAGUCAACGAUGUUGGUGUUUUAACUUUUCUCCUUUCUUGAUUAGCAGCUAUAAAGAAAGAUCAGAUUUCUGCCAGAGAAAGCCGGCCCAUGGUGGGGCAGAAUAUUCAUUAGCGGCUUUUGCAGAAUGAGAAGUGGAUUAAUCAAAAGCAGCUGGUGAUGUGGGUGGGCCCGUUGUCUUCGGCCAGGGCACUGCAUUUCGAGGGAUGAAGUAUCCUAAUGUGCCUUCUUCUGUUGCUGGAGAUUCUUAGAAUAAUGGCAGGCAAAAUGUGUAAAUGUAUUAAUCGUGGUAGAACGUGAGUGUCACGUAAAUCCUAGAAAACUGUUAACAUGGAAGGAAGGCAGAAGAAGGCAGAUGGAUUUGGGAUACUGUAAAAGCAUCCUGUAAAAAUCUGUACCAAAGUAACUGCUCUUCUUUUUGAACUUCAAACAGAAAGUCUGGGAAGGAACGAGAAUGAUCUACAACUAUCAAUAAAAUACAUUCGUCUGUAAUCCAUAAACAUGGGACAUUGUCUACUGGGAAUGUCCUUUGCAAACUAAAUGUGUUUCA
Molecule: long non-coding RNA, 1667 nt
Organism: Crotalus tigris (Tiger rattlesnake)
Lineage: Eukaryota; Metazoa; Chordata; Lepidosauria; Squamata; Viperidae
Exons: 3
Source: RefSeq, a predicted model, not a curated record